CCUAUUUUGGAAGUAAAGAGUACGAAAUAAAAGACUCCAAGAUAACAUGAGAAAAAUCUCAGGAGGAAUGUGCACAUUUAAAUAUAAACAGAUAUUACUAGUUAAAAAGGUAAAAGGAACAAAAGUAGCAACGAAUAUUGAGCAAGUAUGCUACAUGACCAAAUAGACAAGUACAGAUCAUGAGCCUGGUGUUUCCGGCUGGGAUGCUUCUUCACCCUAUCAAUGAAUUGGGGAA
This 235-nucleotide long non-coding RNA is filed under the name Capsicum annuum. RNAcentral describes it as "long non-coding RNA (CANN_LNC003758)". Lineage: Eukaryota; Viridiplantae; Streptophyta; Magnoliopsida; Solanales; Solanaceae. The record is from RNAcentral.